This 1347-nucleotide ribosomal RNA is filed under the name uncultured bacterium. RNAcentral describes it as "partial 16S ribosomal RNA". It matches the Rfam family "Bacterial small subunit ribosomal RNA", at positions 28 to 1381 of the family's 1533-position model. The record is from RNAcentral.
GACGAACGCUGUUUGGCGUGCUUAACACAUGCAAGUCGAACGGAAAGGCCCUGCUUUUGUGGGGUGCUCGAGUGGCGAACGGGUGAGUAACACGUGAGUAACCUGCCCUUGACUUUGGGAUAACUUCAGGAAACUGGGGCUAAUACCGGAUAGGAGCUCCUGCUGCAUGGUGGGGGUUGGAAAGUUUCGGCGGUUGGGGAUGGACUCGCGGCUUAUCAGCUUGUUGGUGGGGUAGUGGCUUACCAAGGCUUUGACGGGUAGCCGGCCUGAGAGGGUGACCGGCCACAUUGGGACUGAGAUACGGCCCAGACUCCUACGGGAGGCAGCAGUGGGGAAUAUUGCACAAUGGGCGGAAGCCUGAUGCAGCAACGCCGCGUGCGGGAUGACGGCCUUCGGGUUGUAAACCGCUUUCGCCUGUGACGAAGCGUGAGUGACGGUAAUGGGUAAAGAAGCACCGGCUAACUACGUGCCAGCAGCCGCGGUGAUACGUAGGGUGCGAGCGUUGUCCGGAUUUAUUGGGCGUAAAGGGCUCGUAGGUGGUUGAUCGCGUCGGAAGUGUAAUCUUGGGGCUUAACCCUGAGCGUGCUUUCGAUACGGGUUGACUUGAGGAAGGUAGGGGCGAAUGGAAUUCCUGGUGGAGCGGUGGAAUGCGCAGAUAUCAGGAGGAACACCAGUGGCGAAGGCGGUUCUCUGGGCCUUUCCUGACGCUGAGGAGCGAAAGCGUGGGGAGCGAACAGGCUUAGAUACCCUGGUAGUCCACGCUGUAAACGGUGGGUACUAGGUGUGGGGUCCAUUCCACGGGUUCCGUGCCGUAGCUAACGCUUUAAGUACCCCGCCUGGGGAGUACGGCCGCAAGGCUAAAACUCAAAGGAAUUGACGGGGCCCCGCACAAGCGGCGGAGCAUGCGGAUUAAUUCGAUGCAACGCGUAGAACCUUACCUGGGUUUGACAUGGAUCGGGAGUGCUCAGAGAUGGGUGUGCCUCUUUUGGGGUCGGUUCACAGGUGGUGCAUGGCUGUCGUCAGCUCGUGUCGUGAGAUGUUGGGUUAAGUCCCGCAACGAGCGCAACCCUUGUUCACUGUUGCCAGCACGUUAUGGUGGGGACUCAGUGGAGACCGCCGGGGUCAACUCGGAGGAAGGUGGGGAUGACGUCAAGUCAUCAUGCCCCUUAUGUCCAGGGCUUCACGCAUGCUACAAUGGCUGGUACAGAGAGUGGCGAGCCUGUGAGGGUGAGCGAAUCUCGGAAAGCCGGUCUCAGUUCGGAUUGGGGUCUGCAACUCGACCUCAUGAAGUCGGAGUCGCUAGUAAUCGCAGAUCAGCAACGCUGCGGUGAAUACGUUCCCGGGGCU